RNAcentral lists this ribosomal RNA (438 nucleotides) under uncultured bacterium. RNAcentral's name for it is "partial 16S ribosomal RNA". It matches the Rfam family "Bacterial small subunit ribosomal RNA", at positions 339 to 795 of the family's 1533-position model. The record is from RNAcentral.
CUACGGGCUGCUGCAGUGGGGAAUAUUGCACAAUGGAGGAAACUCUGAUGCAGCAACGCCGCGUGGAGGAUGACACUUUUCGGAGCGUAAACUCCUUUUAUAUAGGAAGAAGAUGACGGUACUAUAUGAAUAAGCGCCGGCUAACUCCGUGCCAGCAGCCGCGGUAAUACGGAGGGCGCAAGCGUUACUCGGAAUCACUGGGCGUAAAGAGCGUGUAGGCGGAUUAAAAAGUCAGAAGUGAAAUCCUAUAGCUUAACUAUAGAACUGCUUCUGAAACUCUUAAUCUAGAAUAUGGGAGAGGUAGAUGGAAUUUCUGGUGUAGGGGUAAAAUCCGUAGAGAUCAGAAGGAAUACCGAUUGCGAAGGCGAUCUACUAGAACAUUAUUGACGCUGAGACGCGAAAGCGUGGGGAGCAAACAGGAUUAGAUACCCGUUAGUC